AGGACGAACGCUGGCGGCGUGCUUAACACAUGCAAGUCGAGCGGAAAGGCCCUUCGGGGUACUCGAGCGGCGAACGGGUGAGUAACACGUGAGUAACCUGCCCCUAGCUCUGGGAUAGCUCCGGGAAACCGGGAUUAAUACCAGAUACGACCACUUUAGACAUCUGUCGUGGUGGAAAGGAUUCCGGCUAGGGAUGGGCUCGCGGCCUAUCAGCUUGUUGGUGGGGUAACGGCCUACCAAGGCGACGACGGGUAGCCGGCCUGAGAGGGCGACCGGCCACACUGGGACUGAGACACGGCCCAGACUCCUACGGGAGGCAGCAGUGGGAAUAUUGCGCAAUGGGCGAAAGCCUGACGCAGCGACGCCGCGUGGGGGAUGAAGGCCUUCGGGUUGUAAACCCUUUCAGCAGGGACGAAGCGAAAGUGACGGUACUGCAGAAGAAGCGCCGGCUAACUACGUGCCAGCAGCCGC
RNAcentral lists this ribosomal RNA (471 nucleotides) under uncultured bacterium. RNAcentral's name for it is "SSU rRNA". It matches the Rfam family "Bacterial small subunit ribosomal RNA", at positions 26 to 518 of the family's 1533-position model. The record is from RNAcentral.